Molecule: non-coding RNA, 46 nt
Organism: Habropoda laboriosa
Lineage: Eukaryota; Metazoa; Arthropoda; Insecta; Hymenoptera; Apidae
Source: Rfam
AAAACGGCCCUUUUCAGGGCCACCAAAAUUUUCUACUUCUCGUUGG